CUUGACCUUUCGGGGGAAAAAAAACACUUUCUCAGGGACGGUGACAGCGAAACGGAUAACAGUCUUCAGUACCUGCUGGACUUUGAAGCUGUGGAUUCUGGGACUGUUAGAAAAGCGCCAACAAAAUGAGGAAGAGGAGGGGCAGAAACACAAUUAGGUUGAAUUACAAUUGGAUGGAAGGCGAGGACAAGGAGAAGGAAGCUUAGGAUGAGGAGGAAGAGAAGCAGCAGGAGCAUCUUUAGGGAUCCCUAUCAUGUCAUUGAGAGGCAGCAGCGAGAGGGGAGACCUCGGCUCAUCCAGCUGGAGAGCUUGACCAGGAGGAGUCGAACAUUAACUCAGCUCUUCCAGGGCACCCUGCAGACUCGGCUGCUGGCAUCGGCGAGGGAUGACGUGAACGCCAAACUGGAGUCCAUCACAGGUCAACUGCAGCUCCUUGUCUCAGAGUGGGAGGGAUUUGAAGCACAAAGGGAGGAACUUGUCGUUUGGUUGGCUGAUAUGGAUGUCCGCCUGAGUGAGGUUGACCAGCUGACAGGAAACACCAGUGAAAAACUGAAACAAGUGCAGGUGUGGGCUUGUUUUGAUAUGACAUAUUUGAUAUGAUACAUACGUCAGAGACAUUGUCCUAAACUGGACUAACAAAGGACCAUGAGUACAACAUGAAACGUACAUUACAUAACGUAAGGCUGAAGUUCAUUGAUCAUUUUAAUCAUAAACUUGUUGAAAUGUUUUUACUGAAUAUGCAAACAUCUGCUGAUGAAAAUGUGUUGAUUUAUUGGUCUGUUAUGAAGCUAUUUCUAUUUCUAAUGUGUUUUAUCACUUUCUGAUGUUUUAUUAAUUAAACAAUACAUGUAUUAUUUGUUGUGUUAUCUGUAGCUAUAGUAUUUAUAUAUAUUUAUUUAUAGUAUAGCAAAUAUAUUU
Molecule: long non-coding RNA, 918 nt
Organism: Astatotilapia calliptera (eastern happy)
Lineage: Eukaryota; Metazoa; Chordata; Actinopteri; Cichliformes; Cichlidae
Source: Ensembl